AUACUUAUAUAUCAACCAGCAGAAGUAUGGACUUAUAAACCGUGUAACCCUUUCUAGCUAUUUACAUCUAAACCUAUAUAUUAAGUGAAUCAGCUUCUGCCAGCAACACCGCUCUCCGAAUCCUUACGAAGAGAAUGGGUACUAGAGAGGUGUACGAAGAGAAACUGAGGAAUGGAAAUCUCCACCACGAUCCAACCAUAAACCCUGGCCUUGGUUCUGCUCGUUGCCCUCGUUGUCUAUCUCUUCUCAAUCCUAAUUCCGAAAGAGGUGAAUGGACUAUUACUCCCGUCUUGCAUGAUGCCACUGCCGUCGUUGGCUCGGGGUUUGGCGGAAUGAUUAGUGCAGUUCAUGGUUUGAAUAGAGGGUUGCCAUAUCUUCAAAAUCGUCUGAAAGGACCGAAGUGGCUGCCUUUUCUUGUUGGGAUCCCUCCAUUGUUGAUAUUUUCAGGAGCAAGUGCUGCAUUUGGAGUUGUAGAGUUGCUUCAUGCUUCACAAAAUGAAGAAAAUUUUAGGGUUUGUCCCCUCUUUUUGUUUCUUGAAUCAUGUUCUAGAAUGGUGGCCAUGAUUGUAUGGUGUGGAAGGUUUUUUACAAAACUAGUUGGUUGGCCUUGUCGUUUCAACUUUUACGCGGCAGCUGCCGACCAGCAAUGGCUAUAUCUUGAAAGCUAUGAUGCAUAGGCACGGGUACGGUACCCGGUGCGGGUACCGGUACUGGUACGGGAUACGUCAUUUAAAAAAAAACAAGGUUAUGUGCUUCCAAAGUUUGCCCAACUCACAGUGACAUCCUAUUAUGCAAGCUCAAGUGCAUCCCACUAUGGAAUCUCACUUCCCACCCGGCAUAUUGAAGAGAACUACAAUUCCAAUAAUCAGCAUCUCAAGCGGCUGUGAUGAUCCC
Molecule: RNA transcript, 894 nt
Organism: Lathyrus oleraceus (garden pea)
Lineage: Eukaryota; Viridiplantae; Streptophyta; Magnoliopsida; Fabales; Fabaceae
Exons: 7
Source: RefSeq, a predicted model, not a curated record